Non-coding RNA from Aegilops tauschii subsp. strangulata, 218 nucleotides. NCBI's taxonomy places the organism in Eukaryota, Viridiplantae, Streptophyta, Magnoliopsida, Poales, Poaceae. The record is from RefSeq and is a predicted model, not a curated record.
UGCUUUGAGCACUCUAGUUUCUUCAAAGUAAUGAUGCCGGAAACACGACCCGGCCAAUUAAGGCUAGGAGCGCGAUGCCGGCCGAAGGGUCGAGUUGGUCGGUGCUCGCCAUGAGGCGGACCGGCCGACCCGGCCCAAGCUCCAAUAGCGUAUAUUUAAGUUGUUGCAGUUAAAAAGCUCGUAGUUGGACCUUGGGCCGGGUCGGCCGGUCCGCCUCA